Molecule: ribosomal RNA, 253 nt
Filed under: uncultured bacterium
Lineage: Bacteria
Description: partial 16S ribosomal RNA
Rfam family: Bacterial small subunit ribosomal RNA
Source: RNAcentral
UACGGAGGGUGCGAGCGUUGUUCGGAAUUACUGGGCGUAAAGGGGGCGUAGGCGGUUUGUUAAGUCAAAUGUGAAAGUCCACGGCUUAACUGUGGAAGUGCAUUUGAGACUGGCAGGCUAGAGUUUCGGAAGGGAAAGUGGAAUUCCUGGUGUAGGAGUGAAAUCCGUAGAUAUCAGGAGGAAUACCGGUGGCGAAGGCGACUUUCUGGACGAAUACUGACGCUGAGGCCAGAAAGCGUGGGGAGCAAACAGG